GGUGAGGACAUCACUGGACAAACCCAGAUCGUGAGACAUUCAAAACACAGUUGGUCCAGACUUUUCAAAAACGUCAAUGUCAUUAAAAAGGAAGGAAAAAAGCAUUCCCUCUGGAAUACAUCAGCACUGUUGCCUUUGAGGCUGGCCUGCUUGAAUGCACACCUGAGCUCCGGAUUCACAGCAAUUUCUUGGAUGAUUCACAGUGGAGGAAGCCAGAUGCCAUGUCAUGAGGGUGCUCAAGCAACUUUUUGGAGAUGUAUGUAUGGAGAGAAACUGAGGCCUCCUGCCAACAGCCAGCACUAACUUGGCAAGCAUGUUUGAGAGCCACCUGGGAAGUGGAGCCUUCAGCCCCAGUUAAGCCUUCAGAUGAGACUGCAGUCCUGGCCACCAUCUGGACUGCAACUUCACAAGAGCUCCUAAGCCAGAGCCAUGCAGAUGGAUUCUUGGCCCCCAGAAAUUGUGCCACUACAUUUUGGGAAAUUUAUUAUGCAGCCAUAGAUUACCAAUACACUCACUAUUUCUUUUUUCUGAUGCCAUACUA
This is a long non-coding RNA of Homo sapiens (human), 541 nucleotides long. Ensembl annotates it as long intergenic non-protein coding RNA 1638. Lineage: Eukaryota; Metazoa; Chordata; Mammalia; Primates; Hominidae. The record is from Ensembl.